UUUAAUUCGAAGCAACGCGCAGAACCUUACCAGCCCUUGACAUGGGCGUCGCGGGUGGAGAGAUCCACCUUUCGGUUCGGCCGGACGCCGCACAGGUGCUGCAUGGCUGUCGUCAGCUCGUGUCGUGAGAUGUUGGGUUAAGUCCCGCAACGAGCGCAACCCCCAUCCUCAGUUGCCAGCACGUAGUGGUGGGCACUCCGGGGAAACCGCCGGUGACAAGCCGGAGGAAGGCGGGGAUGACGUCAAGUCCUCAUGGCCCUAUGGGCUGGGCUACACACGUGCUACAAUGGUGGUGACAGUGGGCAGCGAGAUCGCGAGAUCGAGCCAAUCUCCAAAAGCCAUCUCAGUUCGGAUCGCACUCUGCAACUCGGGUGCGUGAAGUUGGAAUCGCUAGUAAUCGCGGAUCAGCACGCCG
This 415-nucleotide ribosomal RNA is filed under the name uncultured bacterium. Its description in RNAcentral is "bacterial SSU rRNA". It matches the Rfam family "Bacterial small subunit ribosomal RNA", at positions 945 to 1359 of the family's 1533-position model. The record is from RNAcentral.